GACGAACGCUGGCGGCGUGCCUAAUACAUGCAAGUUGAGCGCUGAAGGUUGGUACUUGUACCGACUGGAUGAGCAGCGAACGGGUGAGUAACGCGUGGGGAAUCUGCCUUUGAGCGGGGGACAACAUUUGGAAACGAAUGCUAAUACCGCAUAAUAACUUUAAACACAAGUUUUAAGUUUGAAAGAUGCAAUUGCAUCACUCAAAGAUGAUCCCGCGUUGUAUUAGCUAGUUGGUGAGGUAAAGGCUCACCAAGGCGAUGAUACAUAGCCGACCUGAGAGGGUGAUCGGCCACAUUGGGACUGAGACACGGCCCAAACUCCUACGGGAGGCAGCAGUAGGGAAUCUUCGGCAAUGGACGAAAGUCUGACCGAGCAACGCCGCGUGAGUGAAGAAGGUUUUCGGAUCGUAAAACUCUGUUGGUAGAGAAGAACGUUGGUGAGAGUGGAAAGCUCAUCAAGUGACGGUAACUACCCAGAAAGGGACGGCUAACUACGUG
RNAcentral lists this ribosomal RNA (497 nucleotides) under uncultured bacterium. RNAcentral's name for it is "partial 16S ribosomal RNA". It matches the Rfam family "Bacterial small subunit ribosomal RNA", at positions 28 to 507 of the family's 1533-position model. The record is from RNAcentral.